CGGCUGAGCCAGCUUCCUCGGGGACACACCGGAGCCCCGUGGGGGCUUUGCUACCCGGUGACCCCGGGAAAAGGUGAAUGUUCUCAUCCAUAAAGUGGGAGUGAACUGGGAGCGCCAGGAGCCCCGGUGAGGACCACGCAGUCCCGGACGGGCCUCCUUGUGUGUUUGGUGGCCCGCAUGGUGCCUGCUGAGUCGGGGGGGGGGGGGGGGUGCGGUCUGGGGCGGCGAGCCAGGCGGGCUGGUGUCCGGGAGGCGUGGCAGUUCCGAUGGGCCCCUGGCACUGGCCGCUUGCGCGCAGGGCUCGCUUGGAGACUCACUGCCGAGCGCCCUUCUGUUCAAGCCAGGCCCAGGCUGACCAGCGCUCUACCCAGUGAGCUGCCCUUUGGGAAAUGGGGUCUGAGGCCAAGUGACAAGCCCUCGGUCAAGGCGUGUAGCACGAGUGUAGCUCGGAUAUGGGCCACCUGCCUCUCCUGUCCCAACGCAGCUCUGGGAGGGUCUCCACCGAGCCCUGCUCUGCAACCGCAGACUUCUGCUCUCUCUCAGCCCCAUUUGCUGCCUCCCCCCUGCUGGCUCAUCCCCAUUUCCUCCCCCUCCCCGACUCACCUCUGCACCGGGCGCCCUGCCCUGCGUCCAGUGCUCUGCAGGGCUGCUCCUGGUGCGCCCCUCCAGCAGACUGUCACUUGAAGGUGACAAGAAGGUGACAGCAGCAGAGCCAGCUUGAGCACAAUCGCUCCGCACACUGACCCUCAGGAUCAGGAUGCGGGAAAUGGUGUAGACAGUGAUAGACGGACGUUCCCGCCGGGGAAGCCACUCUUCUGCUUCUCCCAUCUCCUGGGGUCCGUCUUUUGUAAGCCACGUGGAGGCCGGCUGUUUGCUGAGGUGACUGGAGGGCCCCCGGCAACGCCACACCCCGCGUUCCAUUUCAAGCCGCCACACCUUCGUCCUGCUCUGGAAAGUUGGCGCGUGGAUCGCCGUGUAGGUUCAGGGCUGACCUACAGGAACAGCGGCACGUUGGUUCUCAUUAACAGCCCUCACAUCGGUCCGGUGCCUUACAGAUGAUCAGAGAUUCCACGUAUUUCGUCCAUCCGUUAACUGAUGUGGUUUGCUGCCGAGCCAUGACUCAAGAAGGGGCUGACCCUGCAUGGGAUUGUUGGGGGAUUAGAGGCAUGUCCUAAACCACCACUGUGCUGUCGUUGCUGGAAGCACAUCCCUGAGCCUUCCGGGGGAUCGAUCCCUUUGCAACAGUAGCUCCCACUGAGUGAGAUGGUUGGGGAGUGGGCGUCUUUGGUUAAACGGGCAUUUUGGGUAACUGCGAGCUCUUAACGUCUACCAUUCAUGGAGUAUGCGUUUCCAAAGAAUUAAAACGCAGACGGUG
This is a long non-coding RNA of Herpailurus yagouaroundi (jaguarundi), 1375 nucleotides long. RefSeq lists it as uncharacterized. The record is from RefSeq and is a predicted model, not a curated record. NCBI's taxonomy places the organism in Eukaryota, Metazoa, Chordata, Mammalia, Carnivora, Felidae. The transcript has 2 exons.